GACGAACGCUGGCGGCGUGCUUAACACAUGCAAGUCGAACGGAAAGGCCCUGCUUGCCGGGUACUCGAGUGGCGAACGGGUGAGUAACACGUGGGUGAUCUGCCCUGCACUUCGGGAUAAUCCUGGGAAACUGGGUCUAAUACCGGAUAGGAGCCAUUUUUAGUGUGAUGGUUGGAAAGUUUUUUCGGUGUAGGAUGAGCUCGCGGCCUAUCAGCUUGUUGGUGGGGUAAUGGCCUACCAAGGCGGCGACGGGUAGCCGGCCUGAGAGGGUGGACGGCCACAUUGGGACUGAGAUACGGCCCAGACUCCUACGGGAGGCAGCAGUGGGGAAUAUUGCACAAUGGGCGCAAGCCUGAUGCAGCGACGCCGCGUGGGGGAUGACGGCCUUCGGGUUGUAAACUCCUUUCGCUAGGGACGAAGCUUUUUGUGACGGUACCUAGAUAAGAAGCACCGGCUAACUACGUG
RNAcentral lists this ribosomal RNA (465 nucleotides) under uncultured bacterium. RNAcentral describes it as "partial 16S ribosomal RNA". It matches the Rfam family "Bacterial small subunit ribosomal RNA", at positions 28 to 507 of the family's 1533-position model. The record is from RNAcentral.